Mus musculus (house mouse) is the source of this 213-nucleotide long non-coding RNA. RefSeq annotates it as predicted gene, 40654. NCBI's taxonomy places the organism in Eukaryota, Metazoa, Chordata, Mammalia, Rodentia, Muridae. The transcript is spliced from 3 exons. The record is from RefSeq and is a predicted model, not a curated record.
UCCCUUCCUAGAAAGGUCAGAGCCGUUCCUUCCCAUUCAUGUGUUGAAAUAAACACAUGACUCAGUUAUCACCCUUCCUCAAACCCCUCCAGCUUACAUGCUUUGGAAACAGGCAGCCAAGGUGGAUGGAGAGCAGAGAUGUUUCCUGUCUUCAGCUUCUUGAGAGCUCAUUGAUUGAGGCAGCAUCUCUCACAGCCUGAAGCCCAGCAAUUC